UACGGAGGGUGCAAGCGUUAUCCGGAUUCACUGGGUUUAAAGGGAGCGCAGGCGGAUUGGUAAGUCAGUGGUGAAAGGCUUAAGCUUAACUUGGGAACUGCCAUUGAUACUAUCAGUCUUGAAUAUUGUUGAGGUUUGCGGAAUGGGUCAUGUAGCGGUGAAAUGCGUAGAUAUGAGGAGGAACACCUAUGGCGAAGGCAGCAGGCUAAACAAAGAUUGACGCUGAGGCUCGAAAGCGUGGGGAUCAAACAGG
Molecule: ribosomal RNA, 253 nt
Filed under: uncultured bacterium
Lineage: Bacteria
Description: partial 16S ribosomal RNA
Rfam family: Bacterial small subunit ribosomal RNA
Source: RNAcentral